This 1345-nucleotide long non-coding RNA is filed under the name Takifugu rubripes (torafugu). RNAcentral's name for it is "lncRNA (ENSTRUG00000031891.1)". The record is from RNAcentral. Lineage: Eukaryota; Metazoa; Chordata; Actinopteri; Tetraodontiformes; Tetraodontidae.
AGUUUGCCUUUUAGAGUAGUGUUACAUCUUAAACAAUCCCCCCCAGCGGGGGAAAUGCGUGGCUGGCAAUUAUCAGGGAAGAAUUACAUUUGAAUGGCAAAUAUGUAAAGGCUGCACAAAUAUGUCAGCUGUUGAGUUAUCCUACAACAGCAUUAAAACUCGCGUCACUGACAACAGUAUAAAAAUUGUUAUAUUAGCAAGUUCCGUCCGUCCCAGUAGUGACAAGCAACUAUAACGCAGUUUAAGACCCAUUUAUCAGCACAGAGACCACAGGGACAAUGACUGACUGCUCCACAGAUUAGAAACAACUGCUUGUCAACAGAGGCUUCUCAGACAAAUCGGUGAGAAAGAGAAGCCACCAAAACCAAAUGAAUUAGGGUGGCACCUUUGCAGCUCCCUAUUUGCGCAUCCACAUCAACGUUUGGCCAGCUAGAUUGAGUUUUCCUCCACACUUUGACGAGCUAACAGAGCAAUUAGCCCGGCGCUAGCUUACGGAUGUGUCUGAGCAGAGGAUGAGUUCAGUUCCACACAAUCGCCUUUGGAGAACGCGAAGACGCAGCCGAUUCUAACAGGAUACUGCGCUAAGCAGCGUGACAAAGCUUAAAACAUCAAAUUGGUGAUGGGCAGUUGGCAGCUAACGCAAGGCCGCAUUUAUCAGCAUUUCCACCUGGGUUAAUGUCACCAUCGUUCAGUGGUCAACUGCAACACUGCUGUUCUUAACCACUGAUCGCUAUGUGGAUGUUAUUUGCUUGUCAUUAGCUAAUGUUAGCUUGGUUUAGCCCGACAGAUCUGACAAAUGUGCCCAUGGUGAAGCAGUUCGAUCCCAUCUCCUUACAGUUAGCAGUAGCAGUCCAGCUGGCCUCAUAUCCUCCUUCCGCAUCCAGUCCUUUCAAAAUCUCAGAGCUUUCCUUUCUCAGAAUGCUAAAGAUGUAAUCACCACACAGUUGGGGGUAAGAAGAGUGCGUCGCUGGAUGAGAGCGCGUGAGACACCGCAGUUGUCAUCUGAGGUUCGUCACACACUUUAAUUUUUAAAUAAAUGAGACUUGCAGCUCAUCAGCCAGCAGCAGCAGCUCAUCGGGUCCUUUAGCCGCCCAGUUUGAGCCUCACAGCUCACCCACAGCGGACCUGGCUCAGCCCCCUGGGAUUCACCCCCUCCAUCAGUCUCCACACACACACACACACACACACACACACACACACACACACACACACACACACACACACGGGCCAGGUGGCUCCCUCUGGCAUGAAAUACAAUCCUCCUAAAUUCUUGUCCUUUGUGUCGGGGCUCCUCAGCUCUUGUAGAACAAUGGAUGGUGGCUCUGGGGCUCUGGGGUUGGGGGGC